GGCCUUCUAGUGUAAGGGUAGCACUCCUAGUUCUGAAUUAGGAGGUUGUGGGUUCAACUCCCACUAGGGCCC
This is a transfer RNA of Pseudogymnoascus sp. 05NY08, 72 nucleotides long. It matches the Rfam family "tRNA". Rfam says of the family: Transfer RNA (tRNA) molecules are approximately 80 nucleotides in length. Their secondary structure includes four short double-helical elements and three loops (D, anti-codon, and T loops). Further hydrogen bonds mediate the characteristic L-shaped molecular structure. tRNAs have two regions of fundamental functional importance: the anti-codon, which is responsible for specific mRNA codon recognition, and the 3' end, to which the tRNAs corresponding amino acid is attached (by aminoacyl-tRNA synthetases). tRNAs cope with the degeneracy of the genetic code in two manners: having more than one tRNA (with a specific anti-codon) for a particular amino acid; and 'wobble' base-pairing, i.e. permitting non-standard base-pairing at the 3rd anti-codon position. NCBI's taxonomy places the organism in Eukaryota, Fungi, Ascomycota, Leotiomycetes, Thelebolales, Thelebolaceae. The record is from Rfam.